Molecule: unclassified non-coding RNA, 259 nt
Filed under: Bombus terrestris (buff-tailed bumblebee)
Lineage: Eukaryota; Metazoa; Arthropoda; Insecta; Hymenoptera; Apidae
Description: misc RNA ENSBTSG00005029361.1
Source: RNAcentral
UACGAAUAAGAGCGGAGAGAACCGUCACGGACCUGCGUGAGUGCUAGCGGCGUCGUGAGUCGUUCUUUCGUACGACCGCCCGCUUAUGCACCGCUUCGUGUCGGUUAUCGAAUAUAUUAUAUAUAUAUAUAUAUAUAUAUACUGUUGUCCUCGUGACCGAUUUUUUUUUCAUAUCAGCAGAUUUGCAUACGUUUGCAGGUUUUCGAUGUGCACGAUGUCCGCGCCCCCGACGUCGUCUUAAAUGAAUAUUAUUUUGGCG